CUAUGGUGGAGGAUAACCCCGGGAAACUGGGGAUAAUACUCCAUAAGUCAGGAGUACUGGAAUGUCUCCUAACUGAAAGUUGCGGCGCCAUAGGAUGAAUCUGCGGCCGAUUAGGUAGUUGUUGGGGUAACGGCCCAACAAGCCCGUAAUCUGGCACGGGUUGUGGGAGCAAGAGCCCGGAGAUGGAAUCUGAGACACGAUUCCAGGCCCUACGGGGCGCAGCAGGCGCGAAAACUUUACAAUGCAGGAAACUUUCUUUAUGGGAACCCCGAGUGCCCGUAAACGCGGGCUGUCCCGGUGUUUAAAACACAUCGGAAGAAAGGGCCGGGCAAGACCGGUGCCAGCCGCCGCGGUAAUACCGGCGGCUCGAGUGGUGACCACUUUUAUUGGGCUUAAAGCGUUCGUAGCUUGAUUUUUAAGUCUCUUGGGAAAUCUCACGGCUUAACUGUGAGGCGUCUAAGAGAUACUGGGAAUCUAGGGACCGGGAGAGGUAAGAGGUACUCUCAGGGGUAGAAGUGAAAUUCUGUAAUCCUUGAGGGACCACCGAUGGCGAAGGCAUCUUACCAGACGGCUUCGAC
Molecule: ribosomal RNA, 578 nt
Filed under: uncultured methanogenic archaeon
Lineage: Archaea; Methanobacteriati; Methanobacteriota
Description: bacterial SSU rRNA
Rfam family: Archaeal small subunit ribosomal RNA
Source: RNAcentral